This 1110-nucleotide ribosomal RNA is filed under the name Triticum aestivum (bread wheat). Its description in RNAcentral is "partial small subunit ribosomal RNA". Lineage: Eukaryota; Viridiplantae; Streptophyta; Magnoliopsida; Poales; Poaceae. The record is from RNAcentral.
AUGGAGCAUCGGGGCCUGCUUCUCGUCCUCGCCGCCGCGCUGUGCCUCGCGGGCGCCGCCGACGCCAGGCACGCCAAGAAGUCGUACCAGGCCGUCUUCAGCUUCGGGGACUCGCUCUCCGACGCCGGCAACCUCAUCGUCGACGGCAUCCCCAAGGCCCUCACCACCGCGCGCGCGCCCUACGGCAUGACCUUCUUCGGCCGCCCCACCGGCCGCUGCUCCAACGGCCGCGUCGUCGUCGACUUCCUCGCCGAGCAUUUCGGGCUGCCGCUGCCGCCGGCGUCGCAGGCGCAUGGCAAGGACUUCAAGAAGGGGGCCAACUUCGCCAUCACCGGCGCCACGGCGCUGGAGUACUCCUUCUUCAAGGCGCAUGGCAUCGACCAGCGCAUUUGGAACACCGGCUCCAUCAACACCCAGAUCGGCUGGCUCCAGAAGAUGAAGCCGUCGCUUUGCAAGUCGGAGAAAGAGUGCAAGGACUACUUCAGCAAGUCCCUGUUUGUGGUGGGAGAGUUUGGGGGGAACGACUACAACGCUCCUCUCUUCUCCGGCGUCGCCUUCUCCGAUGUGAAGACCUACGUGCCGCUGGUCGCCAAAGCCAUCGCCAACGGCGUCGAGAAAUUGAUCGAGCUUGGCGCGACAGACCUGUUGGUGCCUGGAAUUCUUCCGAUCGGGUGCUUCCCAUUGUACCUGACUCUCUACAACAGCAGCAAGAAGUCGGACUACAACGCGCGCACCGGGUGCCUCCGGAGAUACAACCGCCUGGCCUUCCACCACAACAGAGAGCUCAAGCAGCAGCUUGACCAGCUUCAGAAGAAGUACCCAAAGACGAAAAUCAUGUACGGCGAUUACUUCAAAGCUGCAAUGCAGUUUGUCGUCAGCCCCGGGAAAUUCGGUUUCAGCACGGCAGUGCAGGCAUGCUGCGGCGCCGGAGGGUCGGGCGCCUACAACUUCAACCUGAAGAAGAAGUGCGGCGAGGCGGGCGCGAGCGUGUGCUCCAACCCGUCGGCGUACGUGAGCUGGGACGGCAUCCACAUGACCGAGGCCGCCUACCGCAUGGUCGCCAACGGCUGGCUGAAUGGCCCCUAUGCCUCUCCCCCGAUCAUGAAGUGA